This 253-nucleotide ribosomal RNA is filed under the name uncultured bacterium. RNAcentral's name for it is "partial 16S ribosomal RNA". It matches the Rfam family "Bacterial small subunit ribosomal RNA", at positions 524 to 776 of the family's 1533-position model. The record is from RNAcentral.
UACGUAGGGGGCAAGCGUUAUCCGGAAUUACUGGGUGUAAAGGGAGCGUAGACGGUAAUGUAAGUCUGGAGUGAAAAGCGGGGGCCCAACCCCCGGACUGCUCUGGAAACUAUGUUACUAGAGUGCAGGAGAGGUAAGCGGAAUUCCUAGUGUAGCGGUGAAAUGCGUAGAUAUUAGGAGGAACACCAGUGGCGAAGGCGGCUUACUGGACUGUAACUGACGUUGAGGCUCGAAAGCGUGGGGAGCAAACAGG